This 97-nucleotide transfer RNA is filed under the name Megasphaera hexanoica. RNAcentral describes it as "tRNA-Sec". It matches the Rfam family "Selenocysteine transfer RNA". RNAcentral also lists the same sequence under 2 other names. The record is from RNAcentral. Lineage: Bacteria; Bacillati; Bacillota; Negativicutes; Veillonellales; Veillonellaceae.
GGGAAGGGAUGGGUUCUGGUGUUCCCUCUAGUCUUCAAAACUAGCAUGAGAAGUUAACAACUCCUUAGGUGGGUUCGAUUCCCACACCUUCUCGCCA